UGGUCAAGGGCGAUACCACUUGGGGUUUCAACAUGCUGCACUGGCCGAAAGGCCGUGAGAUUGCCGGUUAUGGGAACCAUCAUACGGAGUUGAGUGGACAGAUUGUCAUCAUCGUCGGAAGACGAAACACUAUUGUUAGUAGUGUCUGUUUGGUCACGUAUGAAAAAACCAGACAGUGGCCGGUGGGUAAUGGUGGGUUGUCUCCUUAGUGUCCUCUCAUAUUCAACAACUGAUAAGAACUAAUGUAGGAUAAGUUGUGAAAGUUUAAUAUAUACCUUAUAUGCAGACAUGUGAUUGGCAUCGACAUACCUCUUUUUCCUUUAUCGUACACAUUCCCGCUUUCCUGUGACAUCUCUGGCUUCUAUAUGUUAUUCAGUAAAAUGGCGUUAUUUUGAAAAAAGAAAA
RNAcentral lists this long non-coding RNA (405 nucleotides) under Hordeum vulgare. RNAcentral describes it as "long non-coding RNA (HVUL_LNC003713)". The record is from RNAcentral. Lineage: Eukaryota; Viridiplantae; Streptophyta; Magnoliopsida; Poales; Poaceae.